GACGAAGGGGGCUAGCGUUGUUCGGAAUUACUGGGCGUAAAGCGCGUGUAGGCGGUUGUCCAAGUCGGGUGUGAAAGCCUUGAGCUCAACUCAAGAAAUGCACUCGAUACUGGGCGACUCGAGUGCCGGAGAGGAUAGUGGAAUUCCCAGUGUAGUGGUGAAAUACGUAGAGAUUGGGAAGAACACCAGUGGCGAAGGCGGCUAUCUGGACGGAUACUGACGCUAAGACGCGAAAGCGUGGGGAGCAAACAGG
This 253-nucleotide ribosomal RNA is filed under the name uncultured bacterium. Its description in RNAcentral is "partial 16S ribosomal RNA". It matches the Rfam family "Bacterial small subunit ribosomal RNA", at positions 524 to 776 of the family's 1533-position model. The record is from RNAcentral.